This 239-nucleotide long non-coding RNA is filed under the name Panax ginseng (ginseng). RNAcentral's name for it is "long non-coding RNA (PGIN_LNC001213)". Lineage: Eukaryota; Viridiplantae; Streptophyta; Magnoliopsida; Apiales; Araliaceae. The record is from RNAcentral.
AUAAGAAAGGGUUGUGCACAUCCACUUGCUGAGUAUAUCUACGAGCACUACCUAUAUGAUCUUGGAGUUAGGUUGAAACAUAAUGUUCAAUCGCAGACGGUGGAGAUAGUUAUAUGUCAAGAGAAGACUCACCAUUGGAAGGAACAUGAUAGUAAUCUUCUCUUUUUUCUUUGGGGUCUAUUGGAUCAACCAAGGAUAAUUCUCUGGACAUAUGAUAUCUAUCAUAACUUAGAUUCAUG